Xenopus tropicalis (tropical clawed frog) is the source of this 818-nucleotide long non-coding RNA. RefSeq lists it as uncharacterized. Lineage: Eukaryota; Metazoa; Chordata; Amphibia; Anura; Pipidae. The record is from RefSeq and is a predicted model, not a curated record. The transcript has 3 exons.
AAGGAAACAAAAGAAAUAAGAACUAUUUGGCACCAAAGUACCUUCUUGAUCCGCGGUUCAUGGAUUUUAAAGAAAAGAAGAGAAAUCAAACCCAGUCCUUCCACUAACAAUGUUUGCAUUCUUCUCUUACAACAGAGAGGGCAUUGUGCCCAGGUCCUUAUUUAUGUAGCUUGGAUGACUGACGCUGUGUAGUUCCCCCCUACCCUGUGUGGCUUCAAGUGACUGGCUCUAUGGGAAAGCUACAGGCUUUAACAACAUCUUGGCAUCCUGUUAUUUGCCAUGGAAUAGCACUGCAGGUGCAGCGUUUUGAAUCUGCUCAUCGGGAAAGGAAUGGAGACUGCACACGGGGCAGCAGCUUAUAUACAACCCACGCUUUCUAAUCACCCUUCCACAUGGCAGCCUGACCCACAAUGCCCUACAUGCACAUCUGGAAGGAGGCUCACCCAUUGGAGGACAGCCAGCUCCACUCUUGUACCCACCAUCCGCAUCACUGAGCAGCACUGCGCCCGUAGCCCACCUUCUUGCCUCUCUGUGCCCUCAAGGCCUAUUCCUCAGCACCCAACCUGCAGGCUUUCAUCCUAGUGGCAUCAGUCACCAAUUUAUUGUGGCCAUCGGUCCCUAUCUCUUACCUUCCCCAACUCUCAGUCAGACUCAGUUCAAACCAGUGUUCCUAUCCCAUUCGUACAUCACAGCAGCUCUGCUUACAUGGGAUUUCCAAUGAGCCCUACAAAACCCAACCAGUAUCUGUACCUGUGAGAAUCCAAGAAUGGUUGUAGGAAGAUCAAAGAUUCAGACCUAUUUCAAAGAAAAAUUCCUUU